This 330-nucleotide ribosomal RNA is filed under the name uncultured bacterium. RNAcentral's name for it is "bacterial SSU rRNA". It matches the Rfam family "Bacterial small subunit ribosomal RNA", at positions 568 to 898 of the family's 1533-position model. The record is from RNAcentral.
CGUGUAGGCGGGUCUUUAAGUCAGGGGUGAAAUGCCAAGGCUCAACCUUGGAACUGCCUUUGAUACUGGAGAUCUUGAGUCCGGGAGAGGUGAGUGGAACUGCGAGUGUAGAGGUGAAAUUCGUAGAUAUUCGCAAGAACACCAGUGGCGAAGGCGGCUCACUGGCCCGGUACUGACGCUGAGAUGCGAAAGCGUGGGGAGCAAACAGGAUUAGAUACCCUGGUAGUCCACGCUGUAAACGAUGGAUGCUAGCCGUUAGGCAGCUUGCUGCUUAGUGGCGCAGUUAACACUUUAAGCAUCCCGCCUGGGGAGUACGGUCGCAAGAUUAAA